AUCAAAGAGAACAGGAAAAACAAAUGACGUAAUGGGAAUGAUGCAAUAGUUCAGCUCUCAGCCAAUCAGAGGCGAGGAAGGGAGAGCGAGGGAGCGGAGCGUUGACCAAUCACGGAGCAGCAACCAUAACACAGUGCACAACCGCAUCGACGUGUUCUUGUGAGGAGGAACAAAUAUUAAGUUUUUCUCUAUAUAUUUUGUGCCGAGGAGGAGGAGAAUGGAAGGGAGAAAACUUGGGACUGCCGCGGAGAAGAUAAAGGCCGAGACAAGAGGAUAAGAAGACCAGGAAGAAGAGGAAGAGGAGGAGAAGAGAGAGGAGAGGGACAACGCGUGUGAGGUAACGUCACAAAUCGGACCUCAUUACGCUCAUCGCUCACCUGGAUGGCUCACGACUCACCUGUGCUAACGAGAACCUUUGCCUGGAAUGGACACGAGAAAGCAUUAUUGAACCCUAUCGUAAAAAUAAUAACCGUACCCAGCCUCUGUUCGUCCCAGGAAAGUUAGCUGUCCCCGUGCUCAGGUGGGCGGGCAAUUAACCUGGGUCUUCUCUCCACGUGGCAGGUACAGAGGAUGACUUGCCAGGUGAGGUCAUUAAGAGCGAUUACCUGUGCUCCUCUGAAGGGCCUAAUUACACUCCGUCGCCAG
Eriocheir sinensis (Chinese mitten crab) is the source of this 645-nucleotide long non-coding RNA. RefSeq lists it as uncharacterized. The record is from RefSeq and is a predicted model, not a curated record. Lineage: Eukaryota; Metazoa; Arthropoda; Malacostraca; Decapoda; Varunidae. The transcript has 5 exons.